Long non-coding RNA from Triticum dicoccoides, 3289 nucleotides. RefSeq lists it as uncharacterized. Lineage: Eukaryota; Viridiplantae; Streptophyta; Magnoliopsida; Poales; Poaceae. The transcript is spliced from 3 exons. The record is from RefSeq and is a predicted model, not a curated record.
UAAUUAGAAAUUCCCUCGAUCGUGGGCAAGGUAGAUUGAGAUGCAAUAUUAGUGCUGUUUCAACUGGGCACCUCCGGAGAUCAUCGUCUCCACCGCCGUUCAUGGUUCUGCCCCCAGCGGAGUGGGGAGUGGGUAGAGGCGGGGAAAGGAGGUUGGGCCCCUGCGGUCAGCCUCUCUGGAGAGAGUGACCAUUGGAUGUGCCUACCUGAGAUCACAUCCGUUGAUUCGGGGCAGCAACUUGCUUAUAAGACACAAAGUGCUAGUACGCCUUCUAGUCUGUAUGGCCCCGAUCCAUAGGAGGCUAGGGUUAGGGUUCAUCGUCGUCCCCAGCCCCAGCACCGCCAACAGUACGCCAAUUUAGUUUGGGUCUGCUGUGAUCUGUUCGCCAAGGGAGAAUUCUGUGCUAAAGAUUGCUUCCCGGUGGGCUCAUUUGAUCAUCUAUUUGAGCCAAAGCAAUUCAGCUUCUCUCGCGAUCUGUGGUCUAGGAAGUUUGCAAAGCCUUCGUUUGUGUCUGUUGUGAGGAAGAUGCCAGGCACAGAUUCAGGGCAGAAUCAGGGGUCGAGAAGGGGCAGAUACGGCGUUGGCCGUAGCCGCAACGAAUCCGCUCGUCCUCCAGCUCCUACUCAGUAGCAGUUCGUUGCUGAUCAAGUGCCCCCCUCUUUUCGUGCUCCUCAGAAUACCUCACAAGUUCCUCCCUAGCAGAUUCCCCCCUCUCCAUCUAUGCCAAACCCCCCAUCAUCCCUCUUGGUGCUAGCUCCUCUAACAUGGGUCAUCCGGCUAUGGGGGCUAUGUAUUCUGGUUUCCCCGUGUCUGCCUACCAAUAUCAAUAGUUGGCGCCGUGGCAACAACAGCCCUAGUUCCCUUUCCCCUAUAUGCCACUGCAAAAUAUGCAUGUGCAAUUCCAACAACCAUAUCCGCAGCAGGUUAGCUCUAGCAGCGGAGUAUCUGGAGGAGGUGGACAAGGUGGGACUGGGAAGAACAAAAAGAAACAGAAAGCCAGUGGCAAACAAAAGCAGCAAGUUGUUGUUCCUGGGCUGGGUGAGGGCUCCUCUACUCAGAAUUCUGUUGAUCCAGAAGGCUACAUGGUUGAUCCAAAAUACAUAGGAGCAAUUUGUUACAACUGUGGCCCCCCUGGUCAUUUUGUUGGCAUGUGCCAAGUGCCUAAGGUGUGUUUUAUCUACAGAACCCCAGGCCAUCAUAUGGAUGUCUGCCCCAAAUGGUACCAACCAUACCCAGCUGCACAAUUUUGAGGGAGAGUCAAUAAUGGACUAGGUUUUUUCCAUACUGAGGCUGGUGAAAAGAGUGAGAAUGAUUGGUUUAAUUUUGGGAAUGUGGGCCUCGCCGUUAUUGAGGAAGGUGUGAUAAGUGCUAAUGAUCUAAGCUGCUUUGCAAAAAUGUGGAAGACAAAUUGGCCUUGGCAAAUCAGACCAUAUGAUGACUCCCAAUAUCUAGUCAGAUUCCUCCAAACAAGAAAGUGGCUGAUCUUGUUGCUUUCAAGUCCAUUAACCUGAAAAAGAAAGGGGUCACUGUCUCUUUUAAGGAGUGGCGUGGUGAUAUACCUACCUAUGACUCUUUGAAGGAAGUCUGGAUUAAUAUAGUAGGGAUCCCACCUGUUUGGUGUUCUUGGAAGGUUAUAGCACAGAUUGUCUCAUCCAUGGGUGUCAUUGUUAAUGUUGAUUGGCAUGGAAUUUUUAGAAGCUUUUAUGAUGUGGUCAGAGUGCAGGUUGCUGUGAGAGACCCACAACUGAUACCUAAAAACAAAGUGGUGGAGAUUCAUCAAGACUUGUACCUCCUCAGCUUUGAAGUGGAGGGAGAUGAAGCUGCUGAUUCCCCUGAUCACAAACCCUUUGAUGACCCUUCUGAUCCUAAAAAUGGAGAUGGAAAUGAGGAAAAUCACAGGAAAAAUGAGGAAGUGGAUGAUUAUAGCAAUGAUGACAUGUUGGGAGAAGAAAUGGAUCAUGAUAGCAGGGAAAAACAAAGCCGACAAAAGGUCUACCUUUGCUCCCAAUGGGUCCAGGACAAGGACUGUUGGCACUCAUCCUCACACUCCUGUUGGGGUAACAACUGUUGGCAACUCUAUGUUAGCCAAGGGGUAGGAUGCUCCCAUGACCAAAAGCUAUUUGGAAGUUGUCAAGAGAGCUCCUUUGGAGAAGUGUGGAAACCUACUUCUACCUCAAUUUGAAGCUGCUAUUUCCAAAAGUGCUGGCCAUGGAGUUGGUUUUUCUGAGACAAAAAUCUCUUGCCCAGCUCCCAAACCUCAGGUCCAUAGAUCUGAAAAAGGGAAAUGGGGGCCUGUUGUUAGGAUGAGCAACAUGAUUAAAAGGGAUGAGAAGAACUCUAUUGUGAAAGCCCAAGAACUCAAGCAAAUUCAGAAUUUGGAGGUGAUCUGGAUGACAUAUAGAAGGAGGAAAUUAAGGUCAGACAGAGAUCCAGGGAGAAGGAGAUCUUGGAAGGUGAACUGAACACUAGGUACUUCAAGGUUGUGGCUAACCAAAAGAGGAGGAAGAAGCAGAUAAAUGUACUGGAAGGCAGCUUAGGACCUGUAGAAGACACCAAAGUUCUGUUGUGUGGCCUAGGAUGCAGGCUAUUUGGCGAAAAACUGCGUCGAACCUUUCUUCGUGGGAAUUCCUAUCCUCAGGUCGUGCCAGAACCGAGCUGGAAGAAUGGUCAAGGGAGUUGGAGCAACUGGCGAGGAGCCCCCCUCUCUUGAUGUGGUCAAAUCCUAGCUGAAGUGAAACAGUGCUCACUAAAGAUAUCCUGGUAGGUGGGGGAAUUUUGAUAUACUCCCUCCGUUCCACAAUGUAGCGCAUAUAGAUUUUUCUAGAAGUCAAACAUUAUAAACUUUGACCAAGUUUGUAGAGAAAAUCAUAUACAUCUAGAAUACCAAAUACGUGUGCUUAGAUACAUCACAACACAUACUUUCAUAUUAUAUACAUUUGGUAUUGUAAAUAUAAAUAGUUUUUUCUAUAAACUUGGUCAAAGUUUAUAAAGUUUGACUUUGUAGAAAAUCUAUAUGCGCUACAUUAUGGAACGGAGGGAGUAUUAGGCUCCCCUGUACCUAGGCAGAUGUGGUGUAAAAAAAGACUUGGUGAACUUGCGUUAUUUGUAAUAGGCUAGGCUAGCUAGCUCUGGUUUCUGUACUUCUUUUGUUUGGCGUGUAUGUUUGCGCUGAGGCUAAGGCAGUGUGUCUACCGUUCCUCCGCGUGCUACUUAUGUAAGGAUCGGAACUCUGUGUUUCAUUUCUAAAAUGGAAUGGAGUUGGGGCAUGCUGCCCUUUUCUUCUUCUUUU